UUGCUUGUUGUCCAACUCCUCCCCAUUGAAAUGGACCCUCAUGCCUCCCCCAGUGCUUGUGACCCCCACGUCCCUCCCCAAAACAGACUCCCCCACACCCCCUGCCACUAUGUGAGGGUCCCUACUGUGCUCCCUUUCUGCAGACAGCUGGAGGACCCACAGCUGGGUGCAGGUUCUGGCCACCCGCUGGUCCCCCCAGUCCCCCCUCAGCCCAAUCUGUGCUGUGGGUGCCUCUGGUGGCCCCGUCCUCAUCUCCUGGCCGGGGGGGAACCGUCCCCAGGAGGUGUUGGGGCUGGGGAACAGCACAGAGCUGCUGCUCAGCCCUGGGGGAGCUGGGGGGCUGUGUGAGGUUCGCUUCAAUGCUUCCGGGCCCCACAUCCAGAGGAGCACGGAGCUGCAUGAGGCUGUGGGUGGCUGCCCAUUGCCCAGCGCUGUGGGAAUGGCCGUGGCUGGGAUAUUGCUGCUGCUGCUCAGCCUCUGCCUCAGUGCCCGUUGCCUCCUCCCUGCAAGGGCAGCCCAAUGCUGGGACCACAUUGCUGCCCCAUCUUCAGCCCAUCAGCCAACGGUCCUGGAGCCUCCUGAAUCACAGGGAGAGCUGCUGUAUGCACACCUCACCCUAUCCGGACCCACACCGCCAUGACACCGCCAGCCAACACCACGCUGGGAUUUCCCAGCCCGUUUUGCCUAAACAAAUAAACGGCUUUAAGCUUUAAAAAAACAGCUCGAAGCGCUGCGCUCCUUCCGUCCCCUCACCACCCCCCAAAAUGUCCCCAACCACCACGCGCUUUGCGAGUCC
Long non-coding RNA from Chrysolophus pictus (golden pheasant), 796 nucleotides. NCBI's taxonomy places the organism in Eukaryota, Metazoa, Chordata, Aves, Galliformes, Phasianidae. The record is from Ensembl.